GGCAUAGACGUAACUUAUUUGUAAGGGAUUCACAAGGUUAGUUUGUCUGAAGAACUAAUUCUUGCCUCAUUGAACUAUACGUCGAGUAUUUUAUUCAAAAGCAUUCUAUUGUCUUUUAGUUUACUUAUUUGUAAUACUCAUGUGGACACUAUAAUUUAAAUGUCUCGUUGAGAAGAAGUAAAACGAGAUUUUUUGGCCAACCUAAUACUAAUAUUAUUAAUAUUAUUAUUAAUACUAUUAUUAACUUCAGUCGCCAGUAUUGGAAGAAUUAUUCUAAAAAACAUUGUAACUGUUAAAAUUACAAAAUUUUAUUUUUUCAUUAUCCUGUAGUAUAGUAUAUAAGCGCAAUUUUUCCUUGUGUAAGUAGUCAUCAAUUAUUUAAAUACAUUUGAAAUGCCAGUCAUAGAAACUAGAUAAGGGAUUAGCUAAGGAUCUAAAUAUAGAAACUAGGGGAACAUAUUAUAAUAAUAAAAUGCUUUAAGAUGUAGUUGAUAAUUUACCAGUUAUGACUAACUAUCUUGUUUAUGAAUUUUUAUCAUUUAUUUUAAACAGCCUUAAACCGAGGUGACAUACAUCUUGCGUAAGAAUGACUCCAUGGUUAACACGUUGACCGCCACGAGAAUUCAGAACGUUUCGCAUAAUAUUACUUAUCGCAUUGUACAAUAACAAAGGCAAAUGGUAUUAGAAUUAGUAAUUUGGCCUCUAGUCAUCGGUGACCACCGUGGCGGCCAACGUAUUAACACUUCGGCAACCGCCUGAAAAAAGAACUACUUACAACUGGAAGUUAAUGAAAAAGGUUUCACCAAGUAUCCAAACUGCGAGCACUUUCGAAUGAGAAUGUAAAUAUUCUUUGGGAUGCUUUCAAAAAUAAAUAAUAAGUACUCUUUUUGCAUUAUUAAAUUUGUUCACGCCGUUAUGGGACGAUCAAGAUCUCCGAUCUCCACGAGAGAAAUUGAAACUCUCGGGACUACGUCCGAAGGGAUGCACGAAAGAGGGAUGUUAUGUAUUCAGGCAAGCACUCAGGCCUGUAGGAAGUCUGCUACGUGACAGCGAUGUCAACUUCGAGCAAAGAAAGGAGAAAUGGUAAUAAAAAAGUAGAAGAGGCUAGAGUGAAAUAGAAGGCAGCGAAAAUACAGCAUAAACGGCCGUUUCUGUUCCGUCUGUCGCAUGUGUGCAGCCUAUUGUUCAUAAACGUACCGCAGGUAGAAUGUUUUAUGUUAAUAUUUAAUGUCCAUAAAGGAAAACUUGUUUUAGUGUAAAAAACCAUUUAUAAUGAGACUGAAUGUUGAUAUGUUGAUGAGAUCAAGUAUAAGAAGCAAGCAGAAUGACGUAUACGACUGUGUAACAAACGUUAUUUAAAUUUUUGUUAUGUACUCGCGAACAGUUUUUAUUUGCCUCUUUUUAUAAAUUGGAUUAAGAUUUCUUUAUACGAAAGAAUAUUUAAACUCUGAAAGGAGUGUCGUGAAACUUUUAAUUAAACAAAAAAUACUUCUAAAACAUAAAUGUCGCAUAUUUGUAAUUCUCAUGUUCUGUGUUACACAAAAAUUGAACUUUUAAAAAAAUAUUAAAAUUAAUCAUGACAAGUGCUGAAGCAUUCAUGAUGCCCAGAAUUUUUUUCCUCACUACUGUGUGACUAAAUAGGUAUUAAUUUUAAAAAUGAAUAACGGAACGUUCAAAUGUGCUGUACAUAUAUGAUAAAGUCAGUAUAAAAAUGUUUCUAUCCUAAAAU
Nomia melanderi (Alkali bee) is the source of this 1729-nucleotide non-coding RNA. NCBI's taxonomy places the organism in Eukaryota, Metazoa, Arthropoda, Insecta, Hymenoptera, Halictidae. The record is from RefSeq and is a predicted model, not a curated record.